GAUGAACGCUGGCGGCGUGCCUAAUACAUGCAAGUCGAGCGAACAGAUAAGGAGCUUGCUCCUUUGACGUUAGCGGCGGACGGGUGAGUAACACGUGGGUAACCUACCUAUAAGACUGGGAUAACUUCGGGAAACUGGAGCUAAUACCGGAUAACAUUUGGAACCGCAUGGUUCUAAAGUGAAAGAUGGUUUUGCUAUCACUUAUAGAUGGACCCGCGCCGUAUUAGCUAGUUGGUAAGGUAACGGCUUACCAAGGCGACGAUACGUAGCCGACCUGAGAGGGUGAUCGGCCACACUGGAACUGAGACACGGUCCAGACUCCUACGGGAGGCAGCAGUAGGGAAUCUUCCGCAAUGGGCGAAAGCCUGACGGAGCAACGCCGCGUGAGUGAUGAAGGGUUUCGGCUCGUAAAACUCUGUUAUUAGGGAAGAACAAAUGUGUAAGUAACUGUGCACGUCUUGACGGUACCUAAUCAGAAAGCCACGGCUAACUACGUG
Molecule: ribosomal RNA, 497 nt
Filed under: uncultured bacterium
Lineage: Bacteria
Description: partial 16S ribosomal RNA
Rfam family: Bacterial small subunit ribosomal RNA
Source: RNAcentral